UAUAAACAAUAAAAACUCCUUAUACUCAAUCCUAACAAUUGUUAAAUCUUCACGGCUAAGGAUUUCAAUUGUCAUUUGUAAGGAUUUGGAGGGGCAUAAUUGACAAUUCUCAUCCCAUUCCCCUUGCUUAAAAACCCAUAGGAAAAAAAAAAUGAAUGAAAGGAAAAAAAAAAGAGGGGGGAUGACAGAAUGUAAAAGAAGAGAGAAAACACCAAAUUCUUCAUUUGCAUGGUCUACCUCCAAGCCAACCCACAUCAUUCCUUUUCAAUAUAUUCUUCUUACAACAAUAUUGAAUACAAAUGAGGAGAGUAAGAUAGAAAUAAAGAGUAUUAGGUUUCAUUCUUGGAGAAACACAAAGAAGUUUGAAGAUGGAAGUCAAAUGAGGAUUAUUAUCAAUGAAUGAAAUUAAAACUCAACCUUAGGAAAAGACACAGCUCUCCCACAUCUACAAGUUAAGGUAACAUGUAAACAUUGAAAGUCUGAGGAGUAUCCGGAUUUGCUCACCAGUCCUUCAAUGUCAUGUGUCGGAGUCGGAUCACGUCUUGAGUCUAGAUUAGAGUCAUAGUUUAAUUAAGUCUCACUUGAAAGUUGUUUUAAAUUUGUAAGUAUUUAGAUAUUUAUGAAUUAAAAGUCUCAGUUUCAUUUGCAUUGUGUAUAUUUCA
Cicer arietinum (chickpea) is the source of this 662-nucleotide long non-coding RNA. RefSeq lists it as uncharacterized. Lineage: Eukaryota; Viridiplantae; Streptophyta; Magnoliopsida; Fabales; Fabaceae. The record is from RefSeq and is a predicted model, not a curated record.